AACGGCCGUACCAUGCUGAAUAUACCGGUUCUCGUUAGAUCACCGAAGUCAAGCAUCGUUGGGCACGGUCAGUACUUGGGUGGGUGACCACCUGGGAACACCGCGUGCCGCUG
Molecule: ribosomal RNA, 113 nt
Filed under: Caerostris darwini
Lineage: Eukaryota; Metazoa; Arthropoda; Arachnida; Araneae; Araneidae
Source: RNAcentral